AGCUCUGAAAACCCCCAGUCUAAAAUAAUUACCAAUAACAUCACUCUUAACUGUAGUUUGUAAAAGGAAAAAGAUAUUGCGAUAAUCCCGCUCCCUUUUUCUCUGAUAGCCACACCUUCAUCUGACAUUAAAGUAAAUACUAUAUGUCUCUAAGGAGGCCAAGCUCUCGUUUCGCUUUGUUGAGCAAUACCAGAGUGAGGCUAUAUAGCUGUAAACAAAACCUUUUCCUGUUUCAAUUUGCAUGAAUUUAAGCACUCGCAGUUCACAAAGUUGAUCACCUUUUCGAGAAGUACAGAGAUGCUCUCUAAAAAAGCAACUCGAUAGCAACUGUUUUAAAUAAUCUGAGUGGAGAGAAGAGGGAAAGAUGAAAACCCAGACAAGGGGAAAAGCUUGUCACAGCCUGCUCUAACAGACUUCGGGGGCAACAAGGAGAAACAGAGGCAGGUUCAUGACCGGCUGGAUUUCUCUGCUGCUCCAAUUAAUUCAGAGAAGCACUCAAACUAAUCAGGCUUUGGAAACUAAACACAGAUGUCUCUAAAGGCACGAGGACAAUGAUGGGAAAUCACAGUUUUACAUAUUUGGAAAAAAAUCUCAAUAUAAAUAGAGGCAUCCUCUUCCUAACGUGCUCGCAGAUUUACAGCUCUGAAAUCAUCUAUUUCGGCUUGGGUUUCCCCUCUCUCCCACCCUGCACCCUGACAAAUCAUCCUUGCCUUCUGAGACCGAUAAUCCCAGUUGGCUGCAAUGACACCUACUGGAUGUCAGAACUGAUGAACUGCAGACCCUGCUGCUGCUGAGUUUAGCUGGCGUCACUGCCAAUGCAACGUUCAACACCACAGCCCUCUCCGGCACAGCUCCAGCCCACCGCAGCUCUUCCCGACUGCUUGGAUCUCGGUUACCCCUAUGAAGCAAUUUCCUGCCUCUUUCAGGCUCAUUUCUCAACUCCCAGGAAGAAACGUGGGACCCAAUAUGAUAUCACAGAGGACCAGCAGAAUGCUAACAGGAAUCCAGCCUCCUGAGUGGAAUUUCUCAGAAUUACCUGAAUUCAGUAGGUUUGGAGAGACUCUUGACCAGCAUGUGUUGACCACGGCCUCUGGACAAAGAAACCUUGGAAGAAAAUACUGAUAUGAACCUGAGCCUCUCUUGUGAAUUCUUCAUUUCAAUGGUGGAAUAAGUGACCACAGAUCCAAAUGAGAAAUACAUUACAUUAAGUUUAUUAGGAACUUAAUCAUCCAGUAAGAGACCAAGAACCUUGGAUGAACUUCUCUGUGACUCCAGCUCUAGCAUUCAGCAGAGGAAUUAAAAAACAUAACAGGGUAAUGAAACACUAUUAGAAUCACCCACCCAUCAGUUGAGUAAAGUGCUCCUUCUUAAAGUUAUUCAAAACAAAAACAAACACAAAAGACUGAAAAAGAAACUUACCCUCAUUGGAAAGAUUGUGCUCUGAUCAUGAACAUAAAAUCUGCCUAGAGUCAACACUGGCAAUAAGAUUCUUAGCUUUUAAAGCAGAUGAAUUCAGUAGUUGGUAUAAAGCACAAGAACUGUAAAUAUUUAUUAUAGGGCAUGUGAGUAUGUUGUCCUGUGAGAGUUAAGGAAAAGAGGAAAAUUUGGUUUCAGCCAAAAAAAAGAAGCUGAAACUAUAACCAUUUACAGCCUGUGAAAGAAAAUCAUAAAGAUGCUGUUCAUAGUUGUUGAUUUUUGAAAGAGGAUAAGACAUAAAUGAAUGUACACAUACAUACAUAUACAUAGCUGAAAUAUCUCUAUAACACACCAUUGGUAGGGAUGUACGUAGUGCAUGUGUAUAUAUAUAUAUCCAGCAUGACACUAGAAUAACAUUAAGGAACCUGUCUGUCACAUGCUAUAUACAGUCUGUCUGGGGAGAACUAACUCUGGACUCAGGAGCUAUCUAUGAUCCUUAAUGUUAAAUUUCUUUCAAACCCAUCUACUAUUCAGGAUGCUGGAACGUAUUUGUAGAAUCCUUCUCACAUCAUUUAUCAAAGAGCUUUUCAACAUCUCAGCUCUAGAAAGGUAAUCCCAACCCAUAUGAAUGCAAAAGAACAGUGCAAAGGAAACAAACCCUGACCAGACAGACAGAAGGUAUACAUGAGAGGAAGAAUAACUUUCUAAAUUCCUUGUCAUUUUAUGCCACCUAAGAUAGAUCAUCCAUGUCUGGCUGACACCUCUGUAAAUAAGCUGUUCAAAAAUCAUAACAGACAAAUAAACAAGCAGUGAUAAACCAAC
Long non-coding RNA from Coturnix japonica (Japanese quail), 2238 nucleotides. RefSeq lists it as uncharacterized. NCBI's taxonomy places the organism in Eukaryota, Metazoa, Chordata, Aves, Galliformes, Phasianidae. The record is from RefSeq and is a predicted model, not a curated record.